GGAACGAUGACCUGAGGCAAGAAUUCAAAGCAGAAAUCAGCGUUUUGCAUCCAAACCAACUUGUUUUCCUCGACGAAACAGGAAUUGAUAAACGAAUUGCUCGACAGUUCGGAUAUAGCGCUCGUGGAACACCUGCUAUUGUUUAGGACUUUAGCUAUGCACGAUGGGCGCCUCAUUAUUCGGCAAUUUCAGCGAUAUCGAGUGACGGGCUUCUGGCUAACGGCUUGCUAAAGAAUGCAGAUGAGAGAUUUGACACUCACUCUUUUAUACGGUUUCUUGAUGAGCAACUUUUACCGGCAAUGAAUGUGUUCAAUGGGGAAAACCCGCGAUCCGUCCUCGUAAUGGAUAACCAUCCAGUGCAUCAUGCCCAAGAAGUGAUCGAUCACAUUUAUGACUCAGGAGUAAUUAUCCGCUUUUUACCACCAUACAGUCCUGACUUGAACCCAAUCGAAGAGGCUUUUGCCGAAGUGAAACACUACUUACGACAGUAUUGAUUUAGUAUUGCAACUAUUUGGUAUUGCAAUCAGUGCGAGAUCCUAGCCCGCUUAUAUGGGAAGCUUUUGGGCAAAUAACAUUCAGUGAUUGUCUGGGGUACAUGCAUCACGCUGGCUAUAAUUAUUUGAUCCGCGGAAAUUGCAAAAUAUUAUUUCAUCUUAUGUAUUUAUAGAGGCUCUAAUUAUAACGACGAUAUAUAUCCAUGUUAGACGGGAAAAUUUGAAACGCAAUGCUUAAAGUUCCCUCGAUAAUAUAAUAUUCUUAGGUUACUGAAAGUGCAUGAUAGCAUGCAUGGCUCCGUUAUACAAGUAUGCAGCCUAUAUAGCGUUGCGUGUCACCAGCGUUGUGGCGUACAUAAGAAAAAUAUAAACCGAAACUGUGUAUAAUUUAACUUGAUAUA
Dendronephthya gigantea is the source of this 895-nucleotide long non-coding RNA. RefSeq lists it as uncharacterized. The transcript is spliced from 3 exons. Lineage: Eukaryota; Metazoa; Cnidaria; Anthozoa; Malacalcyonacea; Nephtheidae. The record is from RefSeq and is a predicted model, not a curated record.